UACGUAGGGUGCGAGCGUUAAUCGGAAUUACUGGGCGUAAAGCGCGCGCAGGCGGUUCGCUAAGACCGAUGUGAAAUCCCCGGGCUUAACCUGGGAACUGCAUUGGUGACUGGCGGGCUAGAGUAUGGCAGAGGGGGGUAGAAUUCCACGUGUAGCAGUGAAAUGCGUAGAGAUGUGGAGGAAUACCGAUGGCGAAGGCAGCCCCCUGGGCCAAUACUGACGCUCAUGCACGAAAGCGUGGGGAGCAAACAGG
Molecule: ribosomal RNA, 253 nt
Filed under: uncultured bacterium
Lineage: Bacteria
Description: partial 16S ribosomal RNA
Rfam family: Bacterial small subunit ribosomal RNA
Source: RNAcentral